UGCCAGCAGCCGCGGUAAUACGGAGGGUGCAAGCAUUAAUCGGAUUUAUUGGGCGUAAAGGGCGCGUAGGCGGGGUAGAAAGUCAAGUGUGAAAUUUCGGUGCUUAACAUCGAAGCUGCACCUGAAACUUCUACUCUGGAGGAUAGAUGGAGAAAGCGGAAUUCCACGUGUAGCGGUGAAAUGCGUAGAUAUGUGGAAGAACACCUGUGGCGAAAGCGGCUUUCUAAUUUAUUCCUGACGCUGAGGCGCGAGAGCGAGGGGAGCAAACAGGAUUAGAUA
Molecule: ribosomal RNA, 279 nt
Filed under: uncultured bacterium
Lineage: Bacteria
Description: partial 16S ribosomal RNA
Rfam family: Bacterial small subunit ribosomal RNA
Source: RNAcentral